This 492-nucleotide ribosomal RNA is filed under the name uncultured bacterium. RNAcentral's name for it is "partial 16S ribosomal RNA". It matches the Rfam family "Bacterial small subunit ribosomal RNA", at positions 29 to 507 of the family's 1533-position model. The record is from RNAcentral.
AGUGAACGCUGGCGGUAGGCCUAACACAUGCAAGUCGAACGGCAGCACAGUAAGAGCUUGCUCUUACGGGUGGCGAGUGGCGGACGGGUGAGGAAUACAUCGGAAUCUACUUUUUCGUGGGGGAUAACGUAGGGAAACUUACGCUAAUACCGCAUACGACCUACGGGUGAAAGCAGGGGAUCUUCGGACCUUGCGCGAUUGAAUGAGCCGAUGUCGGAUUAGCUAGUUGGCGGGGUAAAGGCCCACCAAGGCGACGAUCCGUAGCUGGUCUGAGAGGAUGAACACCCACACGGGAAAGGAGACAGGCUCCAGACCCCGAGGGGAGGAAGCAGUGGGGAAUUUGGGACAAAGGGCGAAAGCCUGAUCCAGCAAUCCGGCGGGGGUGAAGAAGGCUUGCGGGUUGUAAAGCCUUUUUGUGGGAAAAGAAAAAAAGGAGGUUAAUCCCGCGGGGUUCGGAGGGUACCAAAAGAAAAAGCCCCGGCUAAUUACGUG